Molecule: ribosomal RNA, 571 nt
Filed under: Alternaria alternata
Lineage: Eukaryota; Fungi; Ascomycota; Dothideomycetes; Pleosporales; Pleosporaceae
Description: eukaryotic LSU rRNA
Rfam family: 5.8S ribosomal RNA (bases 196-349)
Source: RNAcentral
UCCGUAGGUGAACCUGCGGAGGGAUCAUUACACAAAUAUGAAGGCGGGCUGGAACCUCUCGGGGUUACAGCCUUGCUGAAUUAUUCACCCUUGUCUUUUGCGUACUUCUUGUUUCCUUGGUGGGUUCGCCCACCACUAGGACAAACAUAAACCUUUUGUAAUUGCAAUCAGCGUCAGUAACAAAUUAAUAAUUACAACUUUCAACAACGGAUCUCUUGGUUCUGGCAUCGAUGAAGAACGCAGCGAAAUGCGAUAAGUAGUGUGAAUUGCAGAAUUCAGUGAAUCAUCGAAUCUUUGAACGCACAUUGCGCCCUUUGGUAUUCCAAAGGGCAUGCCUGUUCGAGCGUCAUUUGUACCCUCAAGCUUUGCUUGGUGUUGGGCGUCUUGUCUCUAGCUUUGCUGGAGACUCGCCUUAAAGUAAUUGGCAGCCGGCCUACUGGUUUCGGAGCGCAGCACAAGUCGCGACUCUCUAUCAGCAAAGGUCUAGCAUCCAUUAAGCCUUUUUUUCAACUUUUGACCUCGGAUCAGGUAGGGAUACCCGCUGAACUUAAGCAUAUCAAUAAGCGGAGGA